Chlorocebus sabaeus (green monkey) is the source of this 104-nucleotide small nuclear RNA. Lineage: Eukaryota; Metazoa; Chordata; Mammalia; Primates; Cercopithecidae. The record is from Ensembl.
UUGCUCACUUCAGCUGUAUAUAUGUUAAAAUUGGAAUGAUACAAAGAUUAGUAUGGCCCUUUUGCAAAAACGACAUGUGAAUUCAUGAAGCAUCCUGUAUGUUU